Non-coding RNA from Benincasa hispida (wax gourd), 6314 nucleotides. Lineage: Eukaryota; Viridiplantae; Streptophyta; Magnoliopsida; Cucurbitales; Cucurbitaceae. The record is from RefSeq and is a predicted model, not a curated record.
CUAUUUAUACCCAUUUUCUUCAACCUCUUGCUUCUCCAUCCCAAACCCUAGAAUUUAUUUCUCUUUUCCUUUUAGUCCAAAUUAUGGUGAAUCACUACCAGUUGAAGCUGCCAGCAUGAUCUUAACUUUUCUCCCUUUUUUUUUUCAUUUUUAUUUUUCUUUGAGGAAAGAUCAGAUCAUGCGGCAGUUUCACCUGUUGUUGGUUUUCCCUUUCACCCACAAUCCCUAAUCCCUAAAUAUUAGCCCUAAUUUCAUCUAAUUCCUCUCCCUCAAAAACCCUAAUUUUUCCUUUUUUUUACUUCAUUUCCCUCUAAGUUAAGAAAUUAGGGUUUGUGAUUCCUUCAAAGCUUCUGAUCAUGGUGGUGGGUUUAUCUUUAAGCUCUUUCCAGCUAGGGCUUAUAUGGGUAUCUUAUUUUUUUUUUUUUGGUUCUCAUUAUUGGUUUUUGAUUCAAGGAAAAAGGGUGUUUUCUGAAGGAAAGAUUCUGCCAAGAGUGAGACCCCUAAUUAUUAAGAUUUAUGGAGUUGCAAUUUGUCUGUUUCAUAUUGUUUUUGGGAUUGAUGCCAUCAAGUAUUUUUCUUUUUUCACAUGAUGUGAAUUAUAUCUCUUUGGUUUCAUUAAGAGAGAGAAGUAGAAAAAUAAGAGAGAGCAUUAACUAUCCUUCUGCAAAAAAAUUUGAUGAUAAGUCACAAUAUAACACCAGUUUUAACGGCUUUAAGGAAAACCCCUACACCAAACUCAUAAUUGUUUAGCUAAAUUCAAGUAUAGCUGAUGAAUAAAAUACCAAUUUCAUUUAGAAGAUUACACUUGUGAUUUAAAGAUAUGUAUAUUAUAUAUCAGUUGAACUAUGUUCGGUUAGAUUAGAUUUCAUUACCAACCAAAUUAUUUACCUUAAUCCUUUUCAAUUGGUGUCCUAAUGAUCCAUUUCCUCUCCCUAGUCCUUCCUUGGCCAUCUCUUUCUCUCUGUUUAUUUGGGGCAUUAAUUGUUUUUUUGGUCUUUCUCUUGAUGAUAUGUUUUUGGGCUCAACCCCUUUGAACAGUGCUUUUAACAAGUUGAUCUAAAACCCAACAUUAGUAUUAAUAAACAACUAUUAAUUAAUGGAUUUAUGAACCUCGUGACUUAAGAAACUUAAUUAUGUUGCUUUAGAAACUUUUUUUUUUUGUUUGUUUGUUUAAAAUUCUUUGAAUAUUACUGGUAAUAUGGAAAUUGGAUAGACAUUGAUGUAAAACCUCAACUCUUUAUCUCUCUAUCUUAUUUUUGGUAGGAAUCUUUUAAUCUCCAACAAGGUUUUGUUUUUGUUUUUGUCCAUGCACAGAACUUUCAUAUUUCCAUUAAAAGCCACAAAAAAACAAAACAACUUUUAAAACUUAAUAAUAAUAAUAAUAGAUAUUCAAGAAGAUGGAAGAUAGUUAUGUACAGUGAUCAUGUGGAAAACAAGAAAGGGUUUUUUUACAUGCCAUUUCAGGCUGCCUAGGAAAAGUAGCCCUCUGAAGAAAAACACUCGAUCAUCUUCAGAAAAAAAAUCACAUAUUUUCCUUUACCAGAUGGUUUUUUUAUCUCCUUUUUUUCUUAUCUGUGAUUUUUCUUUGAGAGCUAUUGAUGAGUAGUUUGAGCAGAGCAAGGAUUACUUUCAUUUAUCAGUUUGGUACUCUUUGGAAGACCAUGUUACAUAGUGUAUGCAUGACAUUAAAUUUUCAUUUCAAUUUUUCUAAAAUUUAUAUUUUAUCGAUAUUUUUAUUUUUAUUUACAUUUCUAUAAAAUUGGGACUUUGACAUUUUUGUGGCAUUUUAAACCUUUGAGAGUAUGUACACUUUGUGGAAAAAUAAGAUACUGAGUACAAUGUCUAUACUUAUUUUGUUUUGGAUCUUAACUUCUGAAUAGAACCGAUUUUAAUUAGUUCUAGUUAGUUUUUAGUUAAUUACCUUGUAUUAUAUUUCAUGUGUUUUCUUUUUAUAAUUAAAUAGAUUAAUGGAGUGCAAUGUCUAUAUUAGGAUUAAUGUUAGAAAGUUAAAUGUGUUUGUUUACCAAUUUUGUGUAUUAAAACCAAAAUUAAAUAAUUACAUAUAACUAAAUGUAAGAGAAUUAAGUAGUAUAAUCCUGAAUUGAAUUUAGCAUUGUUUAAUAUAUUGUUUUGUUAAUUAAUUAUUUAAUCAGAUAAAAUAAAAAAUUAAAUAAAUAUUAAUAAUUGAUAAUAAAGUUUUAUAUUAAAUAGUUAAUAUACAGUUACAUGACAAGUGUUUGGAACUUGAGGUAAUAUACAUGCCACGUGUUUGACUUUCCAAAGUAUUUAUAAGAUUUCUGUUAAAUAGUUUACCAUACUUAAUAACAAAAAAUCAAAAUUUGUUUUUUAUAUUUAGUUUGGGAUUAAAAUGGGUGGUUUUAGUGUUUUAUUUUUUUUAAAAAAAAACUGAUUUUAGAUUCUAUUGUUUUGAAAUUUGAAAAAAUGAUUUUAAAUUACCUUGUUAGAUGAGAGAAUUUUUAAAUUAGUGUAAUUAAAAUUCUUUGCUUGGGGAUGAUCAAGAGGGAAACAAAAUAAAAAGUUUUAACUAAUAUAUAAGCUUUUAAUCUUAAUUAGGAAAUUAAAAUAAAGUUAAACAAGUAACUUUUUCUUGAAAUCACCCAUGACGUUGAUAGCACAAUUUAUUUGACCAACGAUAUCACAAAAAAAAAGUUGGACCAAAAUUUUGUAGCCAUAUACGUAUAUAUAUUAUCUAUUUGAUUUGUGGGUGUAAAAUUGUAGUCUUGGACAACUCUUUAUGAAAAAGUUUUGGAUACUUAUAUAUAUAUUUUUUACUCCAUGAUUAAAGUAGUUUAAAAAAAAAUGUGUAUAACCUAAGAUGCAUCCAAGUAAACUAAAAAACCAUUUGGAUUUUGAUUUGAGAAGAAAAAAAAUCAUUUUUAUUUAAACAUUUUUGAUAAAAUUGAUUAAAAUAUAUUUGAAAAACUAUUUUAAGUGGUUGUCAAAUACUCUAAUUUAUUUCAAAAUGAUUUAUUUUUUAAAUUAAAUAUUUGAAAAUGUAUUUAUUUUUUAAAUUAAAUAUUUGAAAAUGUAUUUCAAAUCAGGUAAGAAGGUUAAUGAUGAACAAAAAGUUAAAAGGCUAAGCAAACUUAUGUUGAUCAAGUAAAUUGAGAAAGCUUGAAGCUCCUUGUGUUCUUUACAAGACUUUGAAGUAAAAAUUCUGGGAGUAAGAAUUGGGAGAAUUUUGAAUUUUCUCUCUGUCCAAUUUAUAUCUUAUAUAUUGAAACAUAUAUUUUUUAUUUAUUUAAAUCAUAUUUAAAUUUUAUAAAAUGUAUAUUAAUUCAACCCAGUUGAACCUCAUUUAAACUUGUGUCUCACACAUAGAAGUUUUCGGUUAAAUCAAUAUUUUAAGAUUUAGUAACCAUUUAGAUCAUGUUUGGUAACUAUUUUGUUUUUUUGUUUUUUAAAUUAAGUCUAUUUUCUCUUCAUUUAUCACUGCAUCUUUUUAAGUAUGAUGGUUGAAUUCUUACCCAAAUUCCAAAAACAAAAAAAAGUUUUUAAAAGCUAAUUUCUUUUAUUUUUCAAAUUUUGGCUUGAUUUUUUAAAUCAUUGGUAAAAAGUAGAUAAAAAAAAAAAAAAGUGAAAGUAGUGUGUAUAAGUUUAAUUUUCAAAAACAAAAAAAAAUCAAAAGUCAAAUUGUUAUCAAAUGGUGUCUUAGUUUUGAGUUUUUAUUUUUUAAAAUUAAGAUUAUGUCAUCUCAAUUUAUUACAAUGAUUUUCAUCUAUCUUAAGUAAAAGAGUUGAGUUUCAAACUAAAUUCCAGAAAUUUAGAUUGGUAUUGGUAUUUAUACUUAAAAUAUUGAAAUUGGUUAAAAUUCACGUAUCUAAAUACCUUUGUUUUUUUUGUAAUGUCCUUAAAUUUUUUAUUGGAUUGUUAUCAAAUAUAGUAAAAUGAAUCAAAAUACAAAUAUAGCAAAAUAUCAUUAUCUAUCAGGUAUCUAUCAUUGAUAGACACUGACAGAUGUUUAUUAACAUCUAUCACUGAUAGAUUGUGACAUAUUACUAUAUUCGAAAAUAUUAUUCUAACAGUUUUGCUAUAUAAAACAAAAUUUCAAAUUGAAACUUUAGGGUUUAAAUAUAUACCAUUAAACAUUUUGUUUAAUAUGAGAGCAGUUUUUUUUUUUUAAAAAAAAAAAUUGAAUAUGUUAUUCAUAAAAUAUUGUGUGUGGGUGCGCGUGAGUGAUUUAAAUUAACCGUGUCGCGAUUCGGUAAGCUACGUGUCCGGAGAAAAGGGGCUUGACUUUAGGCCCAACCGAUCUUGGAAAACUUAAGAAGAGUUCCUUCCUAAUCACCCCAUUCAUCCAAAAGAGAAGGGGCACCUGAACCCCGAACCAUCUUGACCUCGGCUAAGUCCGGGAAGCCGCUUCCUUUCGCCUCUGAAAGCGUCCUUCCUUCUCAAUGCUCGGGCAUCCAUCCAAUGCAUUCUUUUCACUCUUCACGGGUUGGAUUUCAUUUUUUUCAUCAUCUCUAGAUGUUGCGACUUCUGGCAUCAUCGGAAGGAUCGAAACCACAUUUGUGUUUGAGGGAGUUGGUGCGACGAAGUAGGGGAUUCAAUUCCAUAUAUCCCGGAUGCCAAGUCACUCAAUAAAGUAGCUCGGCUAAGAGAGAGAAGACAAAGAAAACGACUUUCUUUUUUCAUUUAUAGGAGAUCAAAUUUCAGCGAUCUCGACAAAGAGACAAAGCCAAAAAGGGAGAGGCCUUUUCAAGGUCUUUGUUAGCACUCUCUUUGAGAGCAGGCCUAUAUGUAGGUGGGAAGUACACACCGAAUGUAGUAUUAAACCAAUGUUUAUCGAAGUUAACGUGUACACGAAUGCUCGCUUCCAACUUAUAAGUUAUUUUUAAAUUUUAAAAUACGCACUAAAAAUAAAAUAACAGUUAUGUUGUGAAUUUGAGGAGCAUAACAACGCAUAACGAGAACACAGAAAUGAAGAAAAUAUUAUAAUAAUAAAAUAUAAAAUAAAUAAAUAAUAAAAAGUAAAUAAAAUAACAAAAAAUGAAUUUCUCCACUUUCUCUAAUCUUUUUGGAUUGAUCACUAAUGUGUGUCUUUCAAAAUCUACCAAAUGCCACAGGAACAACACAUGGGGUAAUAGAUAAGUGACACAUGACCAAUGAACACUAAUAAUGAACAUCUAUAUCACAACUAAUUUAACAUAUUUAUAAUAAGUGAUAUUUCCUCCGGGGAAAAAAAUUGUGAUGUUGACACACCAAUUCUAAUUGUGUCCUCCAGCCAACAAACAAAGGCCCUAUUUUGAAAACCUUUAUUACAAGAAAGUAGAUGGAUUAAGUCUAGACUAAAAUAGAGCCCAAACAAAAAGAAAAAAAUGUUAGAACUACAAAUUAGUUCAUUAGGCACGUUUGACGAAUUGAAUUGAGUUGGUAAUUAUUAUUUGAAAAAUUAGAUUAUCUGUGGAGUUAGAUUUCUAUAUUUGAGGUGAAGAGUUGUGUUAAGUUGAAAAAUUUGUGUUUGGAGUGUUGAGUUGAGUUAAGUUGAGUCGAAAAAUUCGUGUAUUGGGUGUUGAGUUGAGUUGAGGUAUCUUAAGCUGUUUUUCUAAACGAAAUUGAUUUUAUCUUAAUUUUUUUCCUAUUUUUUUAAAUUUCCAACUACACGCUUACUUUCCUAAAAAUUUUAACACUAAAAGAUGCUUUAUUCUCUUUUUUCUUCAUUCUUAAAAUAUAACAAAUUCUUACAAAGUAAACAUAUAUUAAAUACAAAUUCUAAAUUCAAUUUUUGACUACUAAAUUAUAUAACAUGCAUUUUUUUUCUAUUCCUAAAUACCAAACAUAUUCCAAACAAAUGAAAAAUAUAACAACUACUUAGCCCUAAAUAAUAAAACCUAAAUGUCGGGCUGCUUCUUGUUUCAGGCCCAUGAUGCUGAGCAGUUCAGUCCAAAAUGAGAGAUCGCAAUGAGCCACGCCUCUCAGCUAUCCCGACAGUACAUGGAAAGAUCCACUAUCAACGAUCUGUGGGAGUUCAAUGAGGCCAACCAAAAAUCAUUUGUGAAAUAAAGAAGAGAAUCAAGCAUGCAAAUUGAAGAAGAGAAAGAGGAAGAGAGGAGCAACAAAGCAUGUAUGUGGUUUCGGCUAAAAUUCAAGCCUACAUCUACGGGAAGGGAAGAUGAUUUAUUGAAGACUUUCAGAGAUAAGUUUUUCUUUUCUUUACAGAUCUUGUACAAGACAGAAUGUAAAAAUUUAAUUCGAAAUGAAUGUAACCUAUAUAUAUGUGAUUACAAAUCUGUUAUGAAGUCUGUUAAAAAGUAAAAACUAGCCGUUGAUAUAUUUGAGAUUAAAAUCUUUCA